UUAAUUUAUUUUAUAAUAUCUUUAUAAAUACUGCCAUAUAUUAAUUUUAAUAUAUAAAAAUUAAAGUUAAAAAUUAAUGUGAAAUGUUAAAACAAAACAAUUUUUUUACUCAUAAUAUCGAUAUUACAUGGAAAACGUUCGUUCGAGAAACUUGCGAUACUAUUCCAACAAUAUUUACUGAAAAGAAAGAUCAUUGCUUAUAUUUCAAAGGAGAUGAAGCAAAGAAGGCAUACGAAGAAAUUAUAUCCGAACAAAGUGAUAUGAUUUUACAAUCUGAACAUAAACAUAAAUUAAAAACAUUUAAUAAUUGCAAUUCAAUAUCAAAACCGUUUUCGUCGAAUGAAAAAAAGAAGAAUCAAUUUACUCAGGAAAAAGUGACAAUCAAUACAAUAUUAAAAGCAGUAGAACAAAAAGACUUAAAAUUUUUAUCAAAAUAUGUAACAUGGGAAAAUGUUAAUUUGACUGAUGAUUUUGGUUGGACUCCUCUCAUGUCAGCUGCAUAUUGUGGUCAUUUGGAUAUUAUAGAAUUUUUAUUAAACCUUGGUGCCAAUAAAAAAGCCAAAGAAAAAUCUGGUCUUACUGCGGCACAAUUGGCAUUAAAAAAAAAUUAUUUGAAUAUAGUUGCAUUACUUAAGAAAAAAUCAGAAUCUGUAUGUAACAAAACAUUACAAGAAAAAGAUACAAAUGAUUCAGAAAAAAAUGCAAAUACUUUAUUACAGAUAAAAUCAGAAUCUAUAGGACUUUUGAAAAAUUAUAAAGACAAUAUACAUAGAGAUAAUGAUAAUAUAGAGGAGGGAUUCAAUGAGGGAUUUUAUUGUAAAAUUUGCAAAACUAAUUUUUACCAAACAACUUGGAAGAAACAUGAAACAUCUACACUUCAUAUUUUCAAUAGUAAACCAAAAUUAAAAAACACAAUGUAUGGGAUAUCAAAACAAAAUAAAGGUUAUAAAAUAUUAUUAAAUUGUGGAUGGGAUGAACAAGGUGGUCUUGGUCCUACAGGAAAAGGAAUAAAAUAUCCUAUUAAAACCUGUUUAAAAUCUGAUAGAAAAGGACUAGGACAAUGUAAUGAAAAAGAAUAUAGAGUGACUCAUUUUAAACCUAAAGAUCCUGCAGCAGUUAGUGAUUUUAGAACAUUUAAACAAAAAUGUUUGAAGAAGAAAGAUAGAGAAAAAUUACUUGAUAGGGAAGUUAGAAGAGAGAAAGCAUUACGUAUUGCUUUGUCUUAAAAUAAUACAUAAAUGAUUAAUAUUUGAUAAUAUUUCUAAGACUGAAUAGAAUAUGAAAUUUGAUCAGCAAAAGGCUUUAAAACAUAUACAACAAGUGGAAGAAAAAGCAGGUGAGAUUCUUACUGAUCGACAAGAAAUAAUUGCUUUGGAUAAAAAAAGAAAUAAUGAUAGAGUUGGAAUGAGGGCACUGCAGA
Molecule: RNA transcript, 1420 nt
Organism: Apis laboriosa (Himalayan honeybee)
Lineage: Eukaryota; Metazoa; Arthropoda; Insecta; Hymenoptera; Apidae
Gene: Pdrg1
Gene name: p53 and DNA damage-regulated protein 1
Exons: 2
Source: RefSeq, a predicted model, not a curated record